CCAAUAGCGUAUAUUAAAGUUGUUGCAGUUAAAAAGCUCGUAGUUGAAUUUCGGGGUUAGUAGGUUGGUCAUGCCUCUGGUAUGUACUGGUCUCACUGAUUCCUCCUUCCUGAUGAACCGUAAUGCCAUUAAUUUGGUGCUGCGGGGAAUUUGGACUGUUACUUUGAAAAAAUUAGAGUGUUUAAAGCAAGCUAACGCUUGAAUACAUUAGCAUGGAAGAAUGAAAUAGGACGUUCGAUCCUAUUUUGUUGGUUGCUAGGAUUGACGUAAUGAUUAAUAGGGAUAGUUGGGGGCAUUAGUAUUCAAUUGUCAGAGGUGAAAUUCUUGGAUUUAUUGAAGACUAACUACUGCGAAAGCAUUUGCCAAGGAGGGUUUCAUUAAUCAAGAACGAAAGUUAGGGGAUCGAAGACGAUCAGAUACCGUCGUAGUCUUAACCAUAAACUAUGCCGACUAGGGAUCGGAUGAUGUUAAUUUUUUAAUGACUCAUUCGGCGCCUUACG
Molecule: ribosomal RNA, 500 nt
Filed under: uncultured Glomeromycotina
Lineage: Eukaryota; Fungi; Glomeromycota
Description: partial small subunit ribosomal RNA
Rfam family: Eukaryotic small subunit ribosomal RNA
Source: RNAcentral